This 189-nucleotide ribosomal RNA is filed under the name Coptosapelta diffusa. RNAcentral describes it as "5.8S ribosomal RNA". The stretch from base 5 to 160 matches the Rfam family "5.8S ribosomal RNA". Rfam says of the family: 5.8S ribosomal RNA (5.8S rRNA) is a component of the large subunit of the eukaryotic ribosome. It is transcribed by RNA polymerase I as part of the 45S precursor that also contains 18S and 28S rRNA. Functionally, it is thought that 5.8S rRNA may be involved in ribosome translocation. The record is from RNAcentral. Lineage: Eukaryota; Viridiplantae; Streptophyta; Magnoliopsida; Gentianales; Rubiaceae.
AGACGACUCUCGGCAACGGAUAUCUCGGCUCUCGCAUCGAUGAAGAACGUAGCGAAAUGCGAUACUUGGUGUGAAUUGCAGAAUCCCGUGAACCAUCGAGUCUUUGAACGCAAGUUGCGCCCGAAGCCAUCAGGCCGAGGGCACGUCUGCCUGGGCGUCACGCAUCGCGUCGCCACCCCCUCCYGUCGU